AACGUAGGGGGCGAGCGUUGCCCGGAUUCACUGGGCGUAAAGCGCGUGUAGGCGGUUCGGUAAGUCGGGUGUGAAAUCCCACGGCUCAACCGUGGAACUGCACCCGAUACUGCCGGACUUGAGGACGGUAGAGGUCGGUGGAAUUCCAGGUGUACCGGUGAAAUGGGCAGAUAUCUGGAGGAACACCAGUGGCGAAGGCGGCCGACUGGGCCGAUCCUGACGCUGAGACGCGAAAGCCAGGGGAGCGAACCGG
This 253-nucleotide unclassified non-coding RNA is filed under the name uncultured Actinomycetes bacterium. Its description in RNAcentral is "uncultured actinobacterium contains 16S-23S intergenic spacer region". It matches the Rfam family "Bacterial small subunit ribosomal RNA", at positions 524 to 776 of the family's 1533-position model. The record is from RNAcentral. Lineage: Bacteria; Bacillati; Actinomycetota; Actinomycetes.